This 165-nucleotide ribosomal RNA is filed under the name uncultured bacterium. RNAcentral describes it as "partial 16S ribosomal RNA". It matches the Rfam family "Bacterial small subunit ribosomal RNA", at positions 355 to 511 of the family's 1533-position model. The record is from RNAcentral.
UAGGGAAUCUUCCACAAUGGGCGCAAGCCUGAUGGAGCAACACCGCGUGAGUGAAGAAGGGUUUUCGGCUCGUAAAGCUCUGUUAUUAAAGAAGAACACGUAUGAGAGUAACUGUUCAUACGUUGACGGUAUUUAACCAGAAAGUCACGGCUAACUACGUGCCAG